AUUGAACGCUGGCGGCAUGCUUUACACAUGCAAGUCGAACGGCAGCGCGGUCUUCGGCCUGGCGGCGAGUGGCGAACGGGUGAGUAAUACAUCGGAACGUGCCCAGUAGUGGGGUAUAGCUCGGCGAAAGCCGGAUUAAUACCGCAUACGACCUGAGGGUGAAAGCGGGGGAUCUUCGGACCUCCCGCUAUUGGGGCGGCCGAUGGCAGAUUAGCUAGUUGGUGGGGUAAAGGCCUACCAAGGCGACGAUCUGUAGCUGGUCUGAGAGGACGACCAGCCACACUGGGACUGAGACACGGCCCAGACUCCUACGGGAGGCAGCAGUGGGGAAUUUUGGACAAUGGGCGAAAGCCUGAUCCAGCAAUGCCGCGUGUGUGAUGAAGGCCUUCGGGUUGUAAAGCACUUUUGGCGGGAACGAAAAGGACUGUGCCAAUACCACGGUGCGAUGACGGUACCCGCAGAAUAAGCACCGGCUAACUACGUG
This 484-nucleotide ribosomal RNA is filed under the name uncultured bacterium. RNAcentral's name for it is "partial 16S ribosomal RNA". It matches the Rfam family "Bacterial small subunit ribosomal RNA", at positions 29 to 507 of the family's 1533-position model. The record is from RNAcentral.